CCCAACCUACGGGGCGCAGCAGUGGGGAAUAUUGCACAAUGGGGAAAACCCUGAUGCAGCGACGCCGCGUGAGUGAAGAAGUAAUUGGUUGCGUAAAGCUCUAUCAGCAGGGAAGAAAUACUGACCUUACGGUCAGCAGACGGUACCUGAGUAAGAAGCCCCGGCUAACUACGUGCCAGCAGCCGCGGUAAUACGUAGGGUGCAAGCGUUAUCCGGAUUUACUGGGUGAAAAGGGAGCGUAGACGGUACGCCAAGUCUGAAGUGAAAUGCCGCAGCUUAACUGUGGAAC
This 289-nucleotide ribosomal RNA is filed under the name uncultured bacterium. RNAcentral describes it as "partial 16S ribosomal RNA". It matches the Rfam family "Bacterial small subunit ribosomal RNA", at positions 331 to 621 of the family's 1533-position model. The record is from RNAcentral.